UGUUGUUGCUACAAUGUUGUUGCUACAAUGUUGUUGCUACAAUGUUGUUGAUACAAUGUGUUGCUACAAUGUUGUUGCUACAAUGUUGUUGCUACAAUGUUGUUGCUACAAUGUGUUGCUACAAUGUUGUCGCUACAAUGUUGUUGCUACAAUGUUGUUGCUACAAUGUGUUGCUACAAUGUUGUUGCUACAAUGUUGUUGCUACAAUGUUGUUGCUACAAUGUUGUUGUUACAAUGUGUUGCUCAGGCAGUGCAUGUAGGGACCAACAAAAAAAAAACUCUUUGAAUAACCUGCCAGUACAUUGCCGCAACUUACAAUCACAUUUAUUAAUACUUAAUGUAAGCUAAAUAUCACACGGGGACUCGUUACUACGACCCAUGGACCUUGUUUCAGCUUUGGUCACAUGAGAGUACAUAGUGAAUAAGAAUAAACAAACGUACUUGAUAAGAAAUGGUCCUCAAAGUGUAGGACAAAAGAAAUCCUUUGUUCCUUGCUAGACACUGAAAUGUAUAGUCAGAGCUUCAAGUAAAUUCUCUACAUAGUCAGAGCUUCAAGUAAAGUCUCUACAUAGUCAGAGCUUCAAGUAAAGUCUCUACUUUAAUAGCUGAGACGAGUGGAAGCUCACUUGGUGAAUCUUUUGUUCAAUCGUCAAUAGGAACAAUAAGUCUAAUGCCAUGAAAUGUUGAUUUUUAAACAUUUCCUUGGUUUUAGACAAAUUUCUUUGAAGUUUCCAAAGUCAAAGUAUUAAAGGCAUUAAGAUGAGCUGUUCACUGAUUGGCAGAACUUACCCAGUUCAAUAAAUCUCAUGUUUUUUUUCCAAAAUAGAAAUAAAUGUAAUGUGUUGUCGUUUAUCUUUGCAAGCCAUUUUUUUGGUUGGUUUGAAAUUCUCCACACAAUUAAUGACUUUUCAAAUUAUUAUGUGGUAGAUUGUCAUUUUUCCUUAUACACGCAAUAAAGUUUGUAUCAAUUAAUAAUUUAAUGCUGCUAUAUCUCAAGCUUAGAUGAUAAACAAAAUAUCAUUUUGAAUUGGAAAGCUAAAUGCUUUUAUUCAAUACUACGGCUGGUCAAAUUAAAACUAACAGUCUCUUAAAAUGGAUUGUAGUUAUAUAGCUCUCAGUGGUUGGGAAAUUCUACCCAGUUUAUCAAAUAAAAAUGCCAAUAAAGUUUCAAAGCACAUUGAGUCGAGUAUCUUGUGGAGUAACUAGGUCACGUCUGCACAUGGAAACCCUUUCAUCGUCGUCUCCAGGGCACGUCUUCCUUGCCGUCACAAAGAUAGAUAGUUGAUAUGAUCUUGUUGCUUUUGUAGCAAUGAAACACUUACUUCUGUUUUAAAAAAAAAGAAUAGAUUUUGAUCUUCAUUCGGUUUCAAUGGACAACCUUCCAUUCCAUCAUUUAAGUAAUAAUCUGUGAAUUAACAUGCAACCCAGCAUUUUUUUGUAUAUGAUUAUAUGCUGCGCAACCUAUUUCACCCCCUAUUUCUGUGGUAAAUACAUUUGAGAAGCCCACAUCUCGUUGUAGCGGGUUAAUUGUACACGUUUUAGUCUUUGUUUCUUUUUUAAAUCUAUUUUCCAAUAAAAAAAAAUAUGCUGGUCAUUCUGAUACGUUUAUUACUUAGAAAGGAGCAGUUAAACGCUCAGUGCCAGUGGAAUGCAAACAUUUGGCGAACAAUGCUCGUGGAAAGCAAACUAAUGGAUCCACAAAUGGGCUGUGUACAUGAAUGACAAUCUGACUCGUCGCUGUUAUCAGAGCGGUCCGGAAUCAUGCUGCAGAUUUUUUUUUGGGGGAAGUUUAUAAAUUUGAAGUUGAUUGCAAAUAAAAUAUAUACCUUGCAAACACCUUGAAUAUAAAUACAACUCAUUAAAUCUGUUCGUCGUCACCCAAGAAGCAGUCAUUCCAACCGUCACUAAUAUGUGUGAGUAUAUUCAUUGUGGGGUAUUUCCUUCGUAAGUUUAUUCUUGAAACUGGAGUGUAGUUAUUUACCUCUCAUUGGUUGUGAAUUUCAACCCCAGCACAUGAUUAUAGAAAAUAAGAUCCCUAUGUAAAUAAAUAGGACAUUGAGUUGAAUAUCUUGUAGAGCAACUGUCACGUCUCUACAUGGAAACCAUUUCAUCAGCGUCUCGAGGGCAGACUUCCUUGUCGUCACUGAUAUAGAUUUCAUCUAUUUUUCUUGAGCUUUUAUGGCACUAAUAUGUAUUUUUUUAAAUAUGUUAAUUUACCUUCAUUCUACCCGUUAAAACAGUUUUCCAUUACGUUAUAUAUUUAAGUAAUGAUCUGUGAAUUAAUAUGCAGCCCAGCAUAUUUUGUACUUGAUUAUAUGCUGCCCUGCCCAUGUGAUCCCAUGUCUAUUUCUGUGGUAAAUACAUUUUAGACGCCCACAUCUCGUUAUAACGUUAUAACGGGUUGAUUGUACAGAAAAAAAACUGAGUGCAGCAUGUGGUUUCUACAGAGAUGUUUCUUUAAAAUUAAUUCCAAUUUUCCAAUAAAACCUUUUUUGGAAUUCAUUAUUUAGAAAGGAGCAUUUAAAUGCUCAAUGCCAGUGAGAUGCAAACAUUUAGCAAACAAUGCCAGUGGAAUUCAAACUAAUGGAGCCACACAUUUGCUCUCUGAGUCGUCACUACUAUCCGAGAAAUCUGCUAUCAUGUUGCAUAUUUUUUUCCCUUAUUAAUUUGGGGGGAGUUUGUGAAUUUGAGGUUGUUUGCUAAUGAAAUAUAUACCAUGCAAACACCUUUAAUAUUAAUCAACUCUCCUGUGGAAACAUGUUCGUCGUCACCCAAGAAGCAGUCAUUCCAACCGUCACUAAUUUGUACGAGUAUAUUUAUUGUGGGGAUUUCCUUCUUUAGUUUAUUCUUGAAGCUACAGCGACAAUAAGUUGAACUUUUGUAACACCUACUACGUUUAUUUAGACAAGUACACUUCUAGAAUAGGCUUUAGUUCUUUCUUUACUAUACAACUCUCUCUCUCUCUCUCUCUCCGAAUUUUUACUCUGUCUACAGAUUAAGUGACACAAUAUGCAUUAUUAUAUUUCCUGGUUCAAUUAACAAAUGGCACAUACAAAUCUUAGGUUUCUCUAAUUUACAUAAGCAACUUCAUUUACACUUGGUAACAAUGACUCACAUGAAUCCACCUGUUUCAAGUUUCCCUACGACGUAGAUAAUGCGCUCCUCUUAUUCUCUUAACCUACAUAACCACAGUCCCAAUAUUCACAUACAUAGUUACAAUUUGUUUUUGUAAGAAAGACAUGCAUGAACACUUUGGGACACUAUUAGUUGAUACAUUGCAGCUCUUAGGCUCGAAAAUGUCUUCAUCACAUUGAUGCCGGUAAGAGCCUAGCAGGUGUUACAGUUGUCAUGUAACACUGAGACCUAAGAAUAAAUUUUGUUCAUGUAAUGAGGAGAUUUUUUUUAUUUUUUUUUAUUUUUCAGUCCAACCUUUUAAUUUAAUGCACUUGUACUUAUAUUUCUUGGAUAGACUUUCCAUUUAAAGCAGUUGUCUUCCUUGUCAAAUGUAUCGGAAGCGUUAAUAGAAGUCUUUAUAAAGAAACUAACAGACUUGUUAAGAUGUCUUUCCUUACACUUAAAAUUUAUGAAUAAUAAAAAUGCUAUUUCUAAGAAGAUAUGAUGAUACAUUUAUUUUCAAUGUUUUCAAAAUUGUGUUUCGGGCAUUCAAAAUCAAAAAAAUUUUUAAGUAAAAAAUCGAUUUGAUUAGGUCCUUUCUGUAUGCUGUGAUUAGCAGGACUUAGUGGUUCAUAUGUCAGAAGUUACCUAGUUCAUUGGUCAGGUUACCUAGCUAUAAGUUAAAACUUACCUUGUUCAUAUGUAAGAAAUUACCUACUUCAUAUGUCAGAAGUAACCUAGUUCAUGUCAGUAGAUACCUAGUUCAAAUGUCAGUAGAUACCUAGUUCAAAUGUCAGGUUACCUAGUUCAUAGGUCAGAAGCCACCUAGUUCAUAUGUCAGGUGACCUAGUUCAUAGAUCAGAAGUAACCUAGUUUAUAUGUCAGAAGUUACCUAGUUCAUAUGUCAGUAGAUACCUAGUUCAAAUGUCAGGUUAUCUAGUUCAUAGAUUAGAAGUAACCUAGUUUAUAUGUCAGAAGUUACCUAGUUCAUAUGUCAGUAGAUACCUAGUUCAAAUGUCAGGUUACCUAGUUCAUAGUUCAGAAGCUACCUAGUUCAUAGGUCAGGUUACCUAGCUAUACGUCAAAACUUACCUAGUUCAUAGGUCAGGUUACAUAGCUAUACGUCAAAACUUACCUAGUUCAUAGGUCAGGUUACAUAGCUAUACGUCAAAACUUACCUAGAUCAUAGGUCAGAAGUUACCUAGUUCAUAGGUCAGGUUACAUAGCUAUACGUCAAAACUUACCUAGUUCAUAGGUAAGGUUACAUAGCUAUACGUCAAAACUUACCUAGUUCAUAGGUCAGAAGUUACCUAGUUCAUAGGUCAGGUUACCUAGCUAUACGUCAAAACUUACCUAGUUCAUAGGUCAGAAGUUACCUAGUUCAUAGGUCAGGUUACCUAGCUAUACGUCAGGUUACCUAGCUAUACGUCAAAACUUACCUAGUUCAUAGGUCAGGUUACCUAGCUAUACGUCAAAACUUACCUAGUUCAUAGGUCAGGUUACAUAUCUAUACGUCAAAACUUACCUAGUUCAUAGGUCAGGUUACAUAGCUAUACGUCAAAACUUACCUAGUUCAUAGGUCAGGUUACAUAGCUAUACGUCAAAACUUACCUAGAUCAUAGGUCAGAAGUUACCUAGUUCAUAGGUCAGGUUACAUAGCUAUACGUCAAAACUUACCUAGUUCAUAGGUCAGGUUACAUAGCUAUACGUCAAAACUUACCUAGUUCAUAGGUCAGAAGUUACCUAGUUCAUAGGUCAGGUUACCUAGCUAUACGUCAAAACUUACCUAGUUCAUAGGUCAGGUUACCUAGCUAUACGUCAAAACUUACCUAGUUCAUAGGUCAGGUUACAUAUCUAUACGUCAAAACUUACCUAGUUCAUAGGUCAGGUUACAUAGCUAUACGUCAAAACUUACCUAGUUCAUAGGUCAGGUUACAUAGCUAUACGUCAAAACUUACCUAGAUCAUAGGUCAGAAGUUACCUAGUUCAUAGGUCAGGUUACCUAGCUAUACGUCAAAACUUACCUAGUUCAUAGGUCAGAAGUUACCAAGUUCAUAGGUCACAAGUAUCAUUGUUUAUUGGUCAGAACUUCAUUAGGUAGAAUUACAUAUUUCAUUUAAAUCUCAUAUUGUUUUUAAAAUAGUAGACAUGAAUGUAAUCUGUUGUCUUUUAUCUUUGCAAUCUGUUUCUUAUUUAACAUUCUCCCUACAAUAAAAUACUAAAUAAGAACGAAUCAUUCACUUGACAACAGAUGAUCAUACACGUGAUUAAGCUUCAGGGCAAUCAAACAUUUUGGUCCAUGCAAGCUGACUCUCAAGUGUCUUGUAAUUGUCCCUUCAAAGAAACCUUUCUACUUUUAUAAACGAAAUUAUGGGCAGUUAACCAGGUGACUAAAAUUAUCAACAUGAUUAUAGUUUAUUUCUUUAACCUUUGUAAACCCAUUUGUUUGUGUGACGUUAACAGCACAAAUAAUAAUGUAAUGGUUAUGAACUAAAGUGUCAUUUCUUCCUACUAGCACAGCAUCAUUGAUUAGAAUCUUUUAAUCAAUCCGGCCUAAAUUAUGUUAAAAUGUAUAGAAUGCUCUAAGAAGUAUUCGCUUAUGAAGAUUUCAAAAAUCUAUUGUAUGACUUCUAACCACAAAGGUUCAUGUUUUCCCGAUACCUCAAACUAUAUAUCCUUACCUGGCAUCCCUUUUCCUGUUCUCUAUUGUUUCUACACAUUUUGGAAAUUGUUUCCAUAUGAGAGAAAUCUACUGAGAUACUCUUUCAUAAGUGUCCAUCAAGUAAAGUGGAUGUUGGUGCUCAGUUAAUUGUAAAGGUAAAAAGUCUUUAAAAUAUUGGACAUUUGUAACCAUUUGUUUGGCGGAUAAUUGGAAUCUCACCUUGAUUUUAAUGUUCAUGUUAGUUUAGUCUAGAAGCAGUACAAAGCGUACACACAGAAAAACUGUAAUCUCGAUGAGUCAAAAUUAAGAAAAGAAAAUUUCUUUGACUUUGGAUACCAUUUAUUCAUUCUUUUACAUUCUCCACAAAAUAGUAAUUUGAACAAUUACUAUUUAGAACCUUGUCCUUUUCCCCUAUAACCACUGCAUCUUUGAUUACCUAGUUCAUCUUUGAUUAGACUCUUUUAACGGUUUCAAUCUUUUAUUCUCUGCCAAAAUAAUGAAGUUAAGAAUGUUGUCAUAUUUUUUUAAAAAGUAUUCGCUUAGGAAAGUUUCAAAACUUGUUUGUAGAUUUCUUUCAAAGUCAAAGUAUUAAAGGCCAUUAGGUGACCUCUUUCCUGUCCGCAGUGAUUGGCAGAGCUUACCCAGUUCAUUAAUUAUCAUGUUUUUCAAAUAAGACAUUAAUGUAAUUUGCAGUCUUUUAUCUUUUCAAGCAAAUUUUUUUGUAUGUUAGAAAUUCUCUGCAAAUAAAUGACUUCUCAAAUUCUAGUGGAUCUAAUAGAUUGUCAUUUUCUCUUUAAACUCGUAACAAAGUUUGUAUCAUUUAAUGUUGUAAUUUUAUUGUGACUCAUAUCUAGCUUGAAUUGGAAAGCUAAAGGCUUUAUUCAAUAUUACAGAUAGGUCAAGUUGAAACUAACAGUCUCUUAAAAUGGAUUGUAGUUGUAUAGCUCUCGGUGGUUGGGAAAUUCUACCCAGCUUGAUUAUAAAAUUAGUAUUCCUAUAAAAUUUAAAAGAAUAAUGAGUUGAAUAUCUUGUAGAGUAACUGUCACGUCUCUACAUGAAAACCCUUUCAUUAUCCUCUCGAGGGCAGUCUUCCUUACUGUCACAAAUAUAUAUUUCAUUAUCCUCUCGAGGGCAGUCUUCCUUACUGUCACAAAUAUACAUUUCAUUAUCCUCUCGAGGGCAGUCUUCCUUACUGUCACAAAUAUAUAUUUCAUCUAUUUUUCUAGAGUUUUUACAGCACACUUAUUUCUGUUUUAAAAAAGAAUGAAUAUUGAUCUUCAUUCUCACCAUAAGGACAAUCUUCAAUUCCAUCAUUUAAGUAAUAACCAGUGAAUUAAUAUGCGACCCAGCAUUUUUUGUACAUGAUGAUAUGCUGCCCAAGCCAUAUGAUCCCCUGCCUAUAACUCAGAUAAAUACAUUUAGACGCCCAUACUUUGUUGUAACGGGUUGAUUGUGUUUACUGAGUGCAGUAAACAUUUUCUAAAGAGACUUGUUUGUUUCUAUUGUAUCUCUAUUAACCGAUUUUUUUUUUUAAUUUCUGGUAAUUCUGAAACGUUUAUAAUUAGGAAAGGAGCAGUUGAACGCUCAAUGCAUGUGGAAUGCAAACAUUUGGCGAACAAUGCCAGUUGCAAUACAAACUAAUGGAGCCACACAUUUGCUGUGUGCAUGCAUGACAGUCUGACUCGUUACUACUAUCUGGGACAUCUACUAUUCGGUUUCUUUAAUAUACAGCAUUUCCUGGUUCAACUUACCAAUGGCCGAUACAAAUCUUUUCUAGGUAACUCUAAUUUACAUAAGCAUUUUCAGUUGUAACUCCAUUUGCACUGUCCAUAAUAACAAUGACUCACAUGAAUUCACCUUUAUCAAGUUUCCAUAUGACGUAGAUAAUACGCACCCCUAAUUCUCGAAACCUAAAUAACCGCAGUCCCAAUUCUUACAUACAGAGUUAUGACAUGCUUGAACACUUUGGGACACUAUUAGAUGAGACAUUUCAGCUCUGAGACUCCACUCAUCCCAUUGACGUUGAAAAAGGUCUAACAAGUGUUACAGUUGUCAUGUAACACUGAGACCUAAGAAUAAAUCUUGUUCAGUGUACAUGAAGAGGUUUUUUUGUUUUUUCAGUCCAACCUUAUAAUUGAAUUUUUGUUAAUAUUUCUUUUAUUGACUUUCCAUUGAAAGCAGUUGUCUUCCUUGACAAAUGCAUCGGAAGUGUUAAUAGGAGUCUUUAUACAGAAACUGACUUGUUUAGUUGUCUUUUCUUUGACCUGAAACGUGUAAAUAAUAAAAAUGCUAUUUCUAAGAAGGCAUGACGAUAACUUUGUUGUUGACAAACUUUCAAUGUUUUCAAAAUUGUGUUUCGGGCAUUCAAAAUGAAACAAAAUAUUAAAGUUGAUUAGAUGAAAUCCUCCUAUUGUUGUUUUUUUGAACUAGUAUACAGGAAUGUAAUUUGAUGUGUUUUAUCUGUGCAAUCUAUUUGUUAUUUGACAUUCUUCCCCCCUAUAAGAUACUAAAUAAGAACAAACAACUCACUUGGCAACAGAUGAUCAUAAAAGGGAUUAGGCUUCAGGGCAAACAAAAAGUUUGGUUCAUGCAAGCUGAUUCUCAAAAGUCUUGUUAUUGUCCCUUCAAAUAAAAACUUUUUACUUGAAUGAACGACAUUAAGGGCAGUUAACCGGGUGACUCAAAUAAUCGACAGGAUUUUAAUUCAUUGUUUUGAAUGACUGUAAACCCUUUGUUUGUGUGACGUUCUCCACACAAAUAAUAAUGUAAUUACUAAAUUAUCAUUUCCCCCUACCAUUAAAGCAUCAUAUAUUUGAAUCUUUUAAUUAAUCCCGCCAGAAUUAUGUUAAAAGGUAGACCCUAUAUAAUACUCUAAGAAGUAUUCGCUUAUGAAGAUUCCGAAAAUGUCUUGUAUCAAUUCAACAGAAGGUAAUACAAGGUGAUGAAAUAUCCACAACAAUAUGUCUUAAUCUGUCAUCCUUUUUUUUUCUCUUAUCUAACUCCUAAUUGCAAAAAGCCUUUUCAACACGAGAGAAAUCUACUGAGAUACUGUUGUAAAUGUCCCCAUCAAGUACAUUGGAUGUUGAUGCUCUAUUAGUUGUAAAGGUGAAAAGUCUUAAAAUAUUGGAAAUUAAUUUCCAUUUGUUAGGCGGAUAUUUGGAAUAUGCCUUGAUUUUAAUGUUCGCAGAUUAGUUUAGUCUAGAAGCAGUACAAAGUGUAAACACAGAAAAACUGUAAUUCUUUAGAGAGCUUGAAACUUGAUGUUUAUAUCUACUACGAUCAUUAAAAAUUAGGGGAAAAAAAUCUACGACUUUGGAAAUCAAUUUCUAUUCACAAAAAUAGUAAUUUGAACAAUUAUAAUUUAGAACAUUGUCAUUUUCCCCUAAAACUACUGCAUCUUUGAUCAGACUCUUUUAUCGGUCUCGAUCUUUUAUUCUCUGUCGAAAUUAUGAAGUUCAAAAUGUUGUCAUAUUUCAAAUUAAAAAGUAUUCGCUUAGGAAAGUUUCAAAACUUGUUUGUAGAUUUCUUUCCAAGUCAAAGUAUUAAAGGCCAUUAGUUGAGAUAUUUCCUGUACGCAGCUUGUUUGACAUUCUCCGCACAAUGAAUGACUUCUCAAAGUAUCAUUUAGUAGAUUGUCAAUGUUGCAAUUUUAUUUUUACUCAUAAGUAGAUUGAAUUAGGAAGCUAAAAGCUUUAUUCAAUACUACAGUUUGGUCAAAUUAAAACUAACAGUCUCUUAAAAUGGAUUGUAGUUGUAUAGCUCUCGGUGGUUGGGAAAUUCUACCCAGCAUAUUUUAAAAUUAAUAUCCCAAUAAAAUUGAAUAGUACAUUUAGUUGAAUAUCUUGUAGAGUAAAUAUCACGUCUCUACAUUGAAACUUGAAACCCUUUCAUUAUCCUCUCGAGGGCAGUCCUCCUUCUCACCAUAAGGACAAUCUUCAAUUCCAUCAUUUAAGUAAUAAUCUGUGAAUUAAUAUGAAACCAAGCAUUUUUUGUACCUAAUUAUAUGCUGCCCAAGCCAUAUGAUCCCCUGCCUAUAACUCAGAUAAAUACAUUUAGACGCCCAUACUUUGUUGUAACGGGUUGAUUGUGUUUACUGAGUGCAGUAAACAUUUUCUAAAGAGACUUGUUUGUUUCUAUUGUAUCUCUAUUAACCGAUUUUUUUUUUAAUUUCUGGUAAUUCUGAAACGUUUAUAAUUAGGAAAGGAGCAGUUGAACGCUCAAUGCAUGUGGAAUGCAAACAUUUGGCAAACAAUGCCAGUUGCAAUACAAACUAAUGUCUGAGUCGUCACUACUAUCCGAGAAAUCUGCUAUCAUGUUGCAUAUUUUUUCCCUAAUUAAUUUGGGGGAGUUUGUGAAUUUGAGGUUGUUUGCAAAUGAAAUAUACACCUUGCAAACACAUUUAAUAUUAAUAACUCUCCCGUGGAAACCUGUUCGUCGUCACCCAAGAAGCAGUCAUUCCAACCGUCACUAAUUUGUACGAGUAUAUUUAUUGUGGGGAUUUCCUUCUUUAGUUUAUUCUUGAAGCUACAGCGACAAUAAGUUGAACUCUUGUAACACCUACUACGUUUAUUUAGACAAGUACACUUCUAGAAUAGGCUUUAGUUCUUUCUUUACUAUACAACUCUCUCUCUCUCCGAAUUUUAACUCUGUCUACAAAUUCCAUGUCCUUGAAAACAUGUUAUGUAGGCCUACUAGUACAUCAUCAUAUUUCCUGGUUCAAUUAACAAACGGCACAUACAAAUCUUUUCUAGGUUUCUCUAAUUAGUUUUAAAUGUGAAAAAAAAGACUUAAAAUAUUGGAAAUUAAUUUCCAUUUGUUUGGCGGAUAAUUGGAAUCUCACCUUUUAAUGUUCGCAGGUUAGUUUAGUCUAGAAGCAGUACAAAGUGUACACACAGAAAAACUGUAAUUCUUUAGAGAGCUUGAAACUUGAUGUUUAUGUCUACCUCGACGACUCAAUAUUAGAAACAAAAAAAUGGUUUCAACUUCGGGAAAACCCGUUUCUAUUUGUUUUACACUAUCCACAAAAAUAAUACUUGCAACAAAUAAUAGCUAGAACAUUGUCAUUCUCUAUAUAAUCACUGCGUCUUGGAUCAGACUCUUUUAUCGGUUUCGAUCUUUAAUUCUCUACCGAAACUAUGAAGUUCAAAAUGUUCAUAUUUCACUAAUAAGUAUUCACUUCGGAAAGUUUCAAAACUUUUUGAUUUCAUUCUUGUAUGAUAAUGAUAAAUGUAGAAAUCUUUCUUGUACUAUGUCGAUAUAAAUGUGUCACGUGUUUGUUCCCCAUUGUUUUUCACGAAGCUUUAAACUAUUUCAGUCCUCAUUUCCUUCCUUUAACGUCACAUCAAAUUUUAAAAUCCUUUUCAAUUUAUUUCCGAAGCUUCAAAAUAUGUCUCCCAUAGAGUUCCUUCCUCUAGCACUGGUAUAAUGUUAAGCCUUUUCAAUUUAUUUCCGAAGCUUCAAAAUAUUUGUCCCAUAGAGUUCCUUCCUCUAGCACUGGUAUAAUGUUAAGCCUUUUCAAUUUAUUUCCGAAGCUUCAAAAUAUGUCCCAUAUAGUUCCUUCCUCUAGCACUGGUAUAAUGUUAAGCCUUUUCAAUUUAUUUCCGAAGCUUCAAAAUAUGUCCCAUAUAGUUCCCUCCUCUAGCAUUGGUAUAAUGUUAAGCCUUUUCAAUUUAUUUCCGAAGCUUCAAAAUAUGUCCCAUAGAGUUCCUUCCUCUAGCACUGGUAUAAUGUUAAGCCUUUUCAAUUUAUUUCCGAAGCUUCAAAAUAUGUCCCAUAUAGUUCCUUCCUCUAGCACUGGUAUAAUGUUAAGUCUUUUCAGUAUAGUUCGCUAAGGAGAACAUUUUCAGUUGAUGUUUAAUUAUGUUUCUGCUUUGAUAUAUGCAAUAACGCAUGGUCUUCAAGUCUAAAGAUUGAGGAACAGUGCAGCAAUUAUCGUUUAAAAGCAAACCCAUUGGCGACCUGCAUAUUUACCCCAUAUUUAAUGCAAGCAAAAUCAUUGUCCGCCGGCGGUCUAUUAAAAAAUAACUAUUGACAAAAUAUUACAAACAAAAAUUGUUAAAAUAGAAUUUGAACUCCUUGCACAGUUUUGUAACAAACAAUAAAUGUGUAGGUAACUAGCUCACUGUUUUAUGGUUCAACGAAAAUGAAAAAGGAUAACUUAGGGGGGGGGGGGGGCAGAGGGAAUAUUGUAGGAAGGUUCGAGACACCGACCCUAGUGACGCCCCUGAGUACAUGAAAGUUAAUUGCAGGAGGAAGGGGCUAGAACAAUCCUCAUUUUUUUUAAGCUAAUAAAACAUUAUAUAUAGCUCAGAUUUAGUGGAGUUGUUUUUUUUGUUGUUGUUCUUUUACCAAUAACAAACUGCUUUUGACUCAAUCAAAUGUGAUCCAAAUGACAUCUUUAUGCCUAUAAAUACAUUUUCUUGUGUAAACUCAAUGUUCGCCUUGUUGGAUGAAAAUGUUACACUAGUUACAUUGUUGUGAACAGGUAAAUGUUAUUGGGUAUAUUGCAUUGUAUGUUAGAGCAUUGGAAUAUUUUUUUUUUAGUUUUUGUUAUUAAAUUGAAAACAAAAUGGUACUGUUAUUGUUUCGCCACACCCUCUGAAAAUGUUAAUAAGGGACUACUGUAGGUAGAACGAACUCUUGACCUUAGCCUAUGCGCAUGUCUUCUAACCUAUGUUCAUUUAGAGAGGGUUUUGAUCAGGAAUAAUUAUUGUCAAUACAUGGCUUGAUGAAGUAGACAGCAAACAUUUUAUAUUUCUUCUGUUGUUGUUUUUUUAAAGCAUCGAGCUUUAAUUUUUUAGCAAUCAUGUAGCUUUUUUUUUUUUUUUUGUAUUUUCCACUUAAAAUGUAUAACCAUUUUAACUUAAUUUAAUUCUAUUGUCUAUAUUGGCCCUAUAUCAACAAAUGUCCAGAAGCAGACUACAGCUUUUGUCUCAAAGACAGAAAUGAAAACAAAAAUUAUUUCCCUUGAUACUUGUAAAUCUUCUGUGACAUAAAACAAAAAUGUUGAGCCAGAAGUAUCACUUUCAAGAAGAAAAGAUUAGAUGCACAAAUCUAGUAUAUAUAGGUAGUGAUCCAGAUCUAGUAUAUAUAGGUAUGUGAUCAGAUGUUAGCAUACAUAGGUAUUCAUGUGUGAAUGUAAUCUUGUUUAAGCUUGUGAUCAGUUGUUAUCUCUGUGUAGAGAGAAACUAAUUGCACUCAUUAGAGAGAUGUUUGUUUUUUUUAUGCAUGAUUGUAAAUAGCUACCUUUUGGUAAUGUAAAUACAAUGAAAGUCUAAAAUUUAGCGAAGAAAAAUAUGUUCUCCUAUACAAUGCAUUUUGUGUGUAAAGGAAUUAUAUAUAUAUAUAUAUAUA
Molecule: long non-coding RNA, 13129 nt
Organism: Biomphalaria glabrata
Lineage: Eukaryota; Metazoa; Mollusca; Gastropoda; Planorbidae
Exons: 2
Source: RefSeq, a predicted model, not a curated record